This 314-nucleotide ribosomal RNA is filed under the name uncultured Bacteroidales bacterium. RNAcentral describes it as "partial 16S ribosomal RNA". Lineage: Bacteria; Pseudomonadati; Bacteroidota; Bacteroidia; Bacteroidales. The record is from RNAcentral.
GGAGUCUGGACCGUGUCUCAGUUCCAGUGUGGGGGACCUUCCUCUCAGAACCCCUAGACAUCGUCGCCUCGGUGGGCCGUUACCCCGCCGACUAGCUAAUGUCACGCGAGCCAAUCCGUAUGCGAUGAAUCUUUCAACAGGUGAUCAUGCGAUCUCCUGUGUUACGGGGUAUUAGACGACGUUUCCAUCGCUUAUCCCCCUCAUACGGGCAUGUUGCUCACGCGUUACGCACCCUUCCGCCGGCGCCGCCAAAGUAUUGCUACCUCGCGCUGCCCCUCGACUUGCAUGUGUUAAGCCUGCCGCUAGCGUUCAUC